Molecule: transfer RNA, 73 nt
Filed under: Stegodyphus mimosarum
Lineage: Eukaryota; Metazoa; Arthropoda; Arachnida; Araneae; Eresidae
Rfam family: tRNA
About the family: Transfer RNA (tRNA) molecules are approximately 80 nucleotides in length.
Source: Rfam by way of RNAcentral
GCCUUUGUGGUGUAGUGGUCAGCACGCUGGGCGCGUAUUCCAGAGGUCCGUGGUUCAAGUCCCAGCAAAGGCG